This 378-nucleotide ribosomal RNA is filed under the name uncultured bacterium. RNAcentral's name for it is "bacterial SSU rRNA". It matches the Rfam family "Bacterial small subunit ribosomal RNA", at positions 521 to 896 of the family's 1533-position model. The record is from RNAcentral.
UAAGACGAACCGUGCGAACGUUAUUCGGAAUCACUGGGCUUAAAGCGCGUGUAGGCGGGCCGGCACGUCGGCUGCUGAAAUCCCCCGGCUCAACCGGGGAAGGGGCACCGAUACGACCGGCCUGGAGGGGGGUAGGGGGGACGGGAACUUCCGGUGGAGCGGUGAAAUGCGUUGAGAUCGGAAGGAACGCCCGCGGCGAAAGCGCGUCCCUGGACCCCACCUGACGCUGAGACGCGAAAGCCAGGGGAGCGAACGGGAUUAGAUACCCCGGUAGUCCUGGCCGUAAACCAUGAGCACUGGGUAGGGGGCUCGCCGAUGGGCUCCCUGCCGCAGCGAAAGCGUGAAGUGCUCCGCCUGGGGAGUAUGGUCGCAAGGCUG